UUCUGCAGUUUUCUGAAGACAGGCUUGCUCUUUUAAGUGCCUGAAUGCAGUUUAGAUGGAUUUUGAGUGUUUAAUUGUACAACUGUCCUCUCUGCAAUAUGGAGCUUGUGGCACACUGUAACACACCAUCCAUUCACUAUCAUCCAGUGGCCCAGCUAGGAGCUCAGGGAGAAACAUUUGUGGUGGGUGCUUCUGAAAGGAAAGGCUUGGAGGCCCAUCUUCUAGCCUCCAACAAAAUAAUUUGUAUUUUUAAAAAUUUCCUGAUAAAUGAAACUUCGGCAUUACUAAAGACAACAUCAAUGUGCAUGAAACAAAAUUAAUUUUAAAUUGAACUGUUUUGAAAUGAAAAUAUUAUUUUUCAAUAAAGUCAGAAUAAAAUGCUUUGAAACUUU
Molecule: long non-coding RNA, 392 nt
Organism: Vidua chalybeata
Lineage: Eukaryota; Metazoa; Chordata; Aves; Passeriformes; Viduidae
Exons: 2
Source: RefSeq, a predicted model, not a curated record